This 225-nucleotide ribosomal RNA is filed under the name Mycolicibacterium alvei. RNAcentral describes it as "partial 16S ribosomal RNA". It matches the Rfam family "Bacterial small subunit ribosomal RNA", at positions 1 to 226 of the family's 1533-position model. The record is from RNAcentral. Lineage: Bacteria; Bacillati; Actinomycetota; Actinomycetes; Mycobacteriales; Mycobacteriaceae.
UUUUUGUUUGGAGAGUUUGAUUCUGGCUCAGGACGAACGCUGGCGGCGUGCUUAACACAUGCAAGUCGAACGGAAAGGCCCUUCGGGGUACUCGAGUGGCGAACGGGUGAGUAACACGUGGGUGAUCUGCCCUGCACUUUGGGAUAAGCCUGGGAAACUGGGUCUAAUACCGAAUAUGACCGCGCACUUCCUGGUGUGUGGUGGAAAGCUUUUGCGGUGUGGGAU